UACGGAAGGUCCGAGCGUUAUCCGGAUUUACUGGGUGUAAAGGGAGCGCAGACGGAUCUGCAAGUCUGAAGUGAAACCCCACGGCUCAACUGUGGGCUUGCUUUGGAAACUGUGGAUCUGGAGUACUGGAGAGGUAAGCGGAAUUCCUGGUGUAGCGGUGAAAUGCGUAGAUAUCAGGAGGAACACCGGAGGCGAAGGCGGCUUACUGGACAGAUACUGACGUUGAGGCUCGAAGGCGUGGGGAGCAAAC
This 250-nucleotide ribosomal RNA is filed under the name uncultured prokaryote. RNAcentral describes it as "partial 16S ribosomal RNA". It matches the Rfam family "Bacterial small subunit ribosomal RNA", at positions 524 to 773 of the family's 1533-position model. The record is from RNAcentral.